GAUGAAGAACGUAGCGAAAUGCGAUACUUGGUGUGAAUUGCAGAAUCCCGUGAACCAUCGAGUCUUUGAACGCAAGUUGCGCCCGAAGCCACUAGGCCGAGGGCACGCCUGCCUGGGCGUCACACGCCGUUGCCCCCCCAUCUACUCCUUCGGGAUUGCGGGGGGGCGGAUGAUGGCCUCCCGUGCGCCUAGCCGCGCGGUUGGCAUAAAUACCAAGUCCUCGGCGACGCACGCCACGACAAUCGGUGGUUGCGAAACCUCGGUUGCCCGUCGUGUGCGUUCGUCGCGCAUCUAGGGCUCGAAAAAAUGCUCGGCUCCGGCUGGGCUUUCAACGCGACCCCAGGUCAGGCGGGGUUACCCGCUGAAUUUAAGCAUAUCAAUAAGCGGAGGA
RNAcentral lists this unclassified non-coding RNA (391 nucleotides) under soil metagenome. RNAcentral's name for it is "partial contains 5.8S ribosomal RNA, internal transcribed spacer 2, and large subunit ribosomal RNA". The stretch from base 1 to 122 matches the Rfam family "5.8S ribosomal RNA", at positions 35 to 154 of the family's 154-position model. The record is from RNAcentral.